CACGGACCAAGGAGUCUAGCAUGUACGCGAGUCAUUGGGACAUAACUAAACCUAAAGGCGUAAUGAAAGUAAAGGUCUGCCUUAGCGCGGGCUUAGGGAAGAUGGGCGUCCGGUUAAAAGCCGCGCUCCGCAUUCCCGGGGUGUCUCGUUCUCAUUGCGAGAAGAGGCGCACCAAGAGCGUACACGCUGGGACCCGAAAGAUGGUGAACUAUGCCUGGUCAGGACGAAGUCAGGGGAAACCCUGAUGGAGGUCCGUAGCGAUUCUGACGUGCAAAUCGAUCGUCGGAACUGGGUAUAGGGGCGAAAGACUAAUCGAACCAUCUAGUAGCUGGUUCCCUCCGAAGUUUCCCUCAGGAUAGCUGGCGCUCGUUGCGUACGAGUCUCAUCCGGUAAAGCGAAUGAUUAGAGGCAUUGGGGCCGAAACGGCCUCAACCUAUUCUCAAACUUUAAAUGUGUGAGAUCUCCGGCUUGCUCGAACCGUUGAAGCCGCGAGUCACGGAUCAGAGUGCCAAGUGGGCCAUUUUUGGUAAGCAGAACUGGCGCUGUGGGAUGAACCAAACGUCGAGUUAAAGCGCCCAAAUCGACGCUUAUGGGAUACCAUGAAAGGCGUUGGUAACUUAAGACAGCAGGACGGUGGCCAUGGAAGUCGGAAUCC
RNAcentral lists this ribosomal RNA (655 nucleotides) under Attalomimus sp. G0353. RNAcentral's name for it is "partial 28S large subunit ribosomal RNA". It matches the Rfam family "Eukaryotic large subunit ribosomal RNA", at positions 660 to 1269 of the family's 3401-position model. The record is from RNAcentral. Lineage: Eukaryota; Metazoa; Arthropoda; Insecta; Coleoptera; Melyridae.